Molecule: ribosomal RNA, 156 nt
Filed under: Glossostigma sp. Barker 7277
Lineage: Eukaryota; Viridiplantae; Streptophyta; Magnoliopsida; Lamiales; Phrymaceae
Description: 5.8S ribosomal RNA
Rfam family: 5.8S ribosomal RNA (bases 1-122)
About the family: 5.8S ribosomal RNA (5.8S rRNA) is a component of the large subunit of the eukaryotic ribosome. It is transcribed by RNA polymerase I as part of the 45S precursor that also contains 18S and 28S rRNA.
Source: RNAcentral
GAUGAAGAACGUAGCGAAAUGCGAUACUUGGUGUGAAUUGCAGAAUCCCGUGAACCAUCGAGUCUUUGAACGCAAGUUGCGCCCGAAGCCUUCAGGCCAAGGGCACGUCUGCCUGGGCGUCACGCAUCGCGUCGCCCCCAAUUCUUGCUCUUAGAG